AGGAAAUGCAGCAGGGUUUUUAAAGGGACUUUUUCAAAACAGGCUUGUUAAAGGGAGAAUCAUGUCUGCCAGGAGAGGUUGCUGAGCACAGAAAUGUGCUACUUCCAUGUUCCUUUAUCUUGCACUUUCUCUGAUACAUGGGAGAAGUAUCUCCUGGUGGGAGGUAUUCUAUCAGGUAGCCAGUGGUAUAGUCUCACUGUCUCCUUUCGGAUAUUUAGAGGAACUGUCAUGGGUCAAUUUUUUUAAAUAAUCUUAGACUUUCAGGAUUCCUAGGUAAGAGGCACUGUCCUUGAAGUCCACUACCUCAGAUAAACUUCUGUUUUUAUUCCCAAAUUAGAGAAUCUGGGUGGGUUACAGAGAAGUCCUAACAAAGACAUGUCUCCCUAUCGUUGACCUCUCACCUUCGGGGUGCCACAUUUUAUCAAAGCACCAUGUUAUAGUAUGCAGUGGUUAAGAGAAUAGUUACCGAGAUCGGUGAACCUAAUCUCUGCCAUUUAUUGGCUUUGUGACCUUUGUCAGUUAAUUCAACCUCCUCAAAACUCAGCUUUCUUAUUUGUAAAAUGGGUCCAAGUAAUGCACAUCCUAGAGGACUUCUGAGCAUGAAAUAAGACACAAAUGACAACUACUUAGCUCAGUGGAACAGAGCAGCUUUUCCAUUUUCAUUAUUGCUAGGUGCAUUGGUGAAUGCCUGUAAUCCCAUAGACUCAGGGGGCUGAGGCAGGAUAAUCACAAAUUCCAGGCCAGCCUCAGCAACUUAGCAAGGCUCUAAGCAACGUAGUGAGACCUUGUCUCAGAAUAAAAAAAGAAAAGGCAUGGAGAUAUAGUUCAGUGGUAAAGGGCCCUGGGUUUAAUUCCCAGAACUGCCCCCCACCACACACACACACC
This 885-nucleotide long non-coding RNA is filed under the name Marmota monax (woodchuck). The record is from RNAcentral. Lineage: Eukaryota; Metazoa; Chordata; Mammalia; Rodentia; Sciuridae.